RNAcentral lists this ribosomal RNA (253 nucleotides) under uncultured bacterium. RNAcentral describes it as "partial 16S ribosomal RNA". It matches the Rfam family "Bacterial small subunit ribosomal RNA", at positions 524 to 776 of the family's 1533-position model. The record is from RNAcentral.
UACGUAGGGGGCAAGCGUUGUCCGGAAUCAUUGGGCGUAAAGAGCGUGUAGGCGGCUUGGCAAGUCUGACGUGAAAGCCCGCGGCUCAACCGCGGAUUGUCGUUGGAAACUGCCUCGCUAGAGUCCGGAAGAGGAGAGCGGAAUUCCUGGUGUAGCGGUGGAAUGCGCAGAUAUCAGGAAGAACACCCGUGGCGAAGGCGGCUCUCUGGGACGGUACUGACGCUGAGGAGCGAAAGCGUGGGGAGCGAACAGG